RNAcentral lists this ribosomal RNA (128 nucleotides) under Staphylococcus pseudintermedius. RNAcentral's name for it is "partial 23S ribosomal RNA". It matches the Rfam family "Bacterial large subunit ribosomal RNA", at positions 2796 to 2925 of the family's 2925-position model. The record is from RNAcentral. Lineage: Bacteria; Bacillati; Bacillota; Bacilli; Caryophanales; Staphylococcaceae.
CCCUCGAGAUGAGAUUUCCCAACUUCGGUUAUAAGAUCCCUCAAAGAUGAUGAGGUAAAUAGGUUCGAGGUGGAAGCGUAGCGAUACGUGGAGCUGACGAAUACUAAUCGAUCGAAGACUUAAUCAAU